Non-coding RNA from Delphinapterus leucas (beluga whale), 663 nucleotides. NCBI's taxonomy places the organism in Eukaryota, Metazoa, Chordata, Mammalia, Artiodactyla, Monodontidae. The record is from RefSeq and is a predicted model, not a curated record.
UUAUCUGGGCUGCGAGCAGAAUGAAAGAGGAAACUAAACAUCAAGAAUCCAAAUUAGUCUUUUGAAGAGUACGAUCCACUCUCUAUAAAGGCAUGGGACACUUCAAAAUAAGAAAAAACAAACAUUGCCAUACAUCACAAAACAGUAGAGCAUUAUUGUCCUCUUGCUCGACGUAAAAGAGUGUUUGGAGCCUCCUUCUCGAUAGGUCUUUCAAUCAUUCUCAAUUUGACUGGCUGUUUAAAAUUGCAGCUCUUGGAUUACUAAUGAGGCACCUGGAUGAUUCUCUACAUACCUGUUUUCCGGACACUGCCUUGAUGAUGGGACUAAAAUGCUGCUUAAAUACAGAGCAGAUGCCAACUGGGAGAGGAAAAUUCUGCCAGUGGCAAACUGUGAGUGGACCAGGACUGCCUUAUCUUCCAAGAACACAGGGGUAGGGGUGUCUAUCUACUUGCUUGAAGCUCUAGACAUCUGUUAACAUUAUUUUUAUCCAACUUUCCUUUGCCUUAAAAUGCAACCUUUUUCUCUAUUUGAAAGAGAUGUUUAAAUCUUUAUAAAAUCAAUAGUUUCUGAAUUCAAAAAUGUUUAAUUCACAAUACGAGUUGGUUACUUAAUUCCAUUAUGCAAACUAUUACUGAUGUCAUCCCAUAUUGCAAAACAUUUGUG